Molecule: ribosomal RNA, 497 nt
Filed under: uncultured bacterium
Lineage: Bacteria
Description: partial 16S ribosomal RNA
Rfam family: Bacterial small subunit ribosomal RNA
Source: RNAcentral
GACGAACGCUGGCGGCGUGCCUAAUACAUGCAAGUAGAACGCUGAAGAGAGGAGCUUGCUCUUCUUGGAUGAGUUGCGAACGGGUGAGUAACGCGUAGGUAACCUGCCUUGUAGCGGGGGAUAACUAUUGGAAACGAUAGCUAAUACCGCAUAACAAUGGAUGACACAUGUCAUUUAUUUGAAAGGGGCAAUUGCUCCACUACAAGAUGGACCUGCGUUGUAUUAGCUAGUAGGUGAGGUAACGGCUCACCUAGGCGACGAUACAUAGCCGACCUGAGAGGGUGAUCGGCCACACUGGGACUGAGACACGGCCCAGACUCCUACGGGAGGCAGCAGUAGGGAAUCUUCGGCAAUGGGGGCAACCCUGACCGAGCAACGCCGCGUGAGUGAAGAAGGUUUUCGGAUCGUAAAGCUCUGUUGCAAGUCAAGAACGAGUGUGAGAGUGGAAAGUUCACACUGUGACGGUAGCUUACCAGAAAGGGACGGCUAACUACGUG